GCCGAUUUGUAAGUGUUGUAGCAAUAUGACACCAAGAGUGGCGUAAGGGUGCGUAAUUGAGAUUAUGCAAUCUGCCCGCAACAGGAGGAUAGCUCCCCGAAAGGGGAAUUAAUACUCCAUAAUACCAUUAGAGGGCAUCUGAUGAUGGUUAAACUACAAGGGGUUGCGGAUGGGCAUGCGGUUGAUUAGCUAGUUGGUAGUGUAUUUGACUACCAAGGCAAUGAUCAAUAGGGGAACUGAGAGGCUCAUCCCCCACACUGGCACUGAGAUUUUGGCCAGACUCCUUUUGGAGGCAGCAGUAGGGAAUAUUGGACAAUGGGCGAGAGCCUGAUCCAGCCAUGCCGCGUGCAGGAAGAAGGCCUUCUGGGUUGUAAACUGCCUCUGCCAGGGGAUAAAAAGUCCCUGCGGGGAAAAUUGAAGGUACCUGGUGAAUAAGCCUUUGCUAAUUGAGAUUUGCCAGCAGCCGCGGUAAUUUUUAGGUGGCAAGCGUUGUCCGGACUCAUUGGGCUCAAAGGGUGCGUAGGUUUUCCGCUGUAAGUCAGUGGUGAAAUUUUGCAGCUCAACUGUCGAGGUGCCAUUGAUACUGCGGGGCUUGAGUACAGUUUAGGUAGGCGGAAUUGUUUGUGUAGCGGUGAAAUGCUUAGAUAUCGUCAAGAACACCGAUAGCGAAGGCAGCUUACUAGACUGUAACUGUUUCUGAGGCUUUAAAGUGUGGGGAUCAAACAGGAUUAGAUACCCUGGUAGUCCACACUGUAAU
RNAcentral lists this ribosomal RNA (757 nucleotides) under uncultured bacterium. RNAcentral describes it as "bacterial SSU rRNA". It matches the Rfam family "Bacterial small subunit ribosomal RNA", at positions 61 to 806 of the family's 1533-position model. The record is from RNAcentral.